AUGGCCACUUGCCUCUCAGACAUGAUUAGUGACCAUUCCCUUGAUUUCUUAGGUCUGCAAGAAACUAUGAAGAAAAAGUUCACACCUAAAUGUUUGAGGAGAAUUGACCCCUUUGACAUAUUCCAAUGGAACUGGGUGCCUUCUAUUGGCAAAUCUGGGGGCAUUUUGUGUGGUGUGAGGAGAGACACUCUGGAUAUAAUAUCCUGUGCUAUAGGCAAAUAUGUAUUACAAAUAAUACUGUAUGACAAAAAGAAGAAAAUAAAGUGGGGUUUGCUGGUAGUUUAUGGAUCGGCACAUGAUGAGUUCAAAAAUGACUUCCUGAUUGAGCUGGCAUCCUUUUGUAGUGGCAUGACCGUGCCCUACAUAGUGGGGGAGACUUUAAUAUCCUGA
RNAcentral lists this ribosomal RNA (390 nucleotides) under Triticum aestivum (bread wheat). Its description in RNAcentral is "partial small subunit ribosomal RNA". The record is from RNAcentral. Lineage: Eukaryota; Viridiplantae; Streptophyta; Magnoliopsida; Poales; Poaceae.